UACGUAGGGCGCAAGCGUUAUCCGGAAUUAUUGGGCGUAAAGAGCUCGUAGGCGGUUUGUCGCGUCUGCCGUGAAAGUCCGGGGCUCAACUCCGGAUCUGCGGUGGGUACGGGCAGACUAGAGUGAUGUAGGGGAGACUGGAAUUCCUGGUGUAGCGGUGAAGUGCGCAGAUAUCAGGAGGAACACCGAUGGCGAAGGCAGGUCUCUGGGCCACUACUGACGCUGAGAAGCGAAAGCAUGGGGAGCGAACAGG
This 253-nucleotide ribosomal RNA is filed under the name uncultured bacterium. RNAcentral describes it as "partial 16S ribosomal RNA". It matches the Rfam family "Bacterial small subunit ribosomal RNA", at positions 524 to 776 of the family's 1533-position model. The record is from RNAcentral.